AGGAAGUAUGGUCCAGGAUUACUUCGGCUACGACACAUAUUCGUCCUGAUUAUGAUGAUCAGCCACAUUGGAACUGCCCACACGGUCCAUGACUCCUACGGGAGGCUAGGGGGCGGAAUUGUACGCAAUGGGCGAAAGCCUGACGCAGCAACGCCGCGUGAGUGAUGAAGGCCCUCGGGUCGUAAAGCUCUGUCAGAGGGGAAGAACCUCCCAUCGGUUAAUAUCCGGUGGGCCUGACGGUACCCUCAAAGGAAGCACCGGCUAACUCCGUGCCAGCAGCCGCGGUAAUACGGAGGGUGCAAGCGUUGUUCGGAAUUAUUGGGCGUAAAGCGCGUGUAGGCGGCUGUUUAAGUCUGAUGUGAAAGCCCUGGGCUCAACCCGGGAAGUGCAUUGGAAACUGGAUAGCUUGAGUACGGGAGAGGGUAGUGGAAUUCCGAGUGUAGGGGUGAAAUCCGUAGAUAUUCGGAGGAACACCGGUGGCGAAGGCGGCUACCUGGACCGAUACUGACGCUGAGACGCGAAAGCGUGGGGAGCAAACAGGAUUAGAUACCCUGGUAGUCCACGCCGUAAACGAUGGGUACUAGGUGUCGCGGGUAUUGACCCUGCGGUGCCGAAGCUAACGCAUUAAGUACCCGCUGGGGAUACGGCGCAGGUUAAAUCAAGAUUGACGGGGCCGCACAACGUGGACAGUGUUAAUUUACCAAGCGAACUACUGGCUGACUCCCAUGCCUUUUGAACUAGG
This 742-nucleotide ribosomal RNA is filed under the name uncultured prokaryote. Its description in RNAcentral is "bacterial SSU rRNA". It matches the Rfam family "Bacterial small subunit ribosomal RNA", at positions 247 to 990 of the family's 1533-position model. The record is from RNAcentral.